CAAGGGCUUUUGGAGCAGAAUUCCUUAAGCAGGAUACAAAAUGAUAGGAUUCUUUCUUACUUAGGUGCUUGUGAGUGUUUUUGGCUAUGCUUUUGAAUGCUACAAAGGAGUUGAAAACAAUAAGCCAGUAUUGGUAUGCUUAUAUCGAUUGUUUCUCCGUGCUUAACUUAUACUUGAUAACUUCUAGUAAAUAAUGAAACUUGAUAACUUAGUACCGCUGAAACUGAGGUACACCUGUUCCUUCAUUGUUAGUCUGCCUCUAGGAUUUGGUAUGCUAUAACAAGGUGGUUAGGAUUUUUGAACUCUACCACAUGUUUAUAAUCCUAAGGUCAAAGUAUGUGCAAUUUUAUUAAUGAUUGAUUUUCAAUAUUACUCAAUGAUGAUUGAUUUAGCCAUUGUAAUUGGGAUGUUAUAAUUGGCUUUGAGGUAUGAAUCAACCUAAGCCUUCUUUUGUGGCUUUGUGUAUGCAGAAGAGUAAGAAAUUUUCCAAAUUGUAGCAGCAUUUUAUCAAGACUUUCCAUAUGUUUCUUUGAAGAAAAUGUACUGUUAGUUAUUUAUAUAACAUAGAUUGUGGGAAGUUCAUUAAUUUAGCUAAUAUGUAUAGGUUCGUGUUGUUUUGUUAGUUUGGGCACUUACAAGAUUUAAAGAAGCAAUCUAUGCAGACCAAAAUCUAGCUUUAUCAAAUUGCAAUAUGUUGAAAUCAGAAAAAUCUAAAAGUGCACUUGACCAUGAUUUUGUCUUUUCCAUUUCAAUUAAGUGAUUAGCUUUUUAUAAUAUUUGUUUGCGCAGGUAUAUAUGCCCUUUGAAAUUUGAUACUGAAUAUGUGAUUCAGGUGCCUAUUUGUUCUUAACUUUUUUAGGUGAUUUAGUUAAUCAGUACAAGACACCAAGUUACCGGAGAAUUGGAGUCUGUCAAAGUAUUGUAACUGCUUCAAUUGAAGAUCCUAAUGGUUAUAAGUUUGAAAAGAAUGACUUGCGAACCUUAUGCAAAGUGAUGCUUCAAUUGAAGAUCCUAAAGGUUAUAAGUUUGAAGACACCAAGGGAUUUUAAUAAAUUGGGUUGAAGGACUAUGAUCAUGAGGUUCUGUUCACAUAUUCCAUCAUUUUCCAUGCCUAAUUAAUUUCUUAGCACCGCUGAAUUUUGUAUUUUACAAGUUGAACAAGGAAUGCUCUUUCUUUAAUAUAAUUUGACCCGCUCAAAAUUCUUCUUUUAUGGAAAUGGACACAAGAUAGAGGAAGUGGGAUAUUAUGUGUUGUUAUAUCUCUUACUAUUGUUAUAUCUUAGUAUUUUAGAGGCAUCUUGGCUCUAUGAUGUAGUUUUUGUAUUGUUAUAUCUUAGUAUUCACUGAUGACCCUUGCAAGCGUAGUAGUGAUAAUUUAUUGGUUAUCUUUUGGAUUGAUUAUGUAUUUUUGGAUAAGUAGA
Molecule: long non-coding RNA, 1421 nt
Organism: Trifolium pratense (red clover)
Lineage: Eukaryota; Viridiplantae; Streptophyta; Magnoliopsida; Fabales; Fabaceae
Exons: 6
Source: RefSeq, a predicted model, not a curated record